CCCUGGCUCAGGACGAACGCUGGCGGCGUGCUUAACACAUGCAAGUCGAGCGGUAAGGCCCUUCGGGGUACACGAGCGGCGAACGGGUGAGUAACACGUGGGUGAUCUGCCCUGCACUUCGGGAUAAGCCUGGGAAACUGGGUCUAAUACCGGAUAUGACCAAAGGCUGCAUGGCUUUUGGUGGAAAGGUUUACUGGUGCAGGAUGGGCCCGCGGCCUAUCAGCUUGUUGGUGGGGUAAUGGCCUACCAAGGCGACGACGGGUAGCCGACCUGAGAGGGUGACCGGCCACACUGGGACUGAGACACGGCCCAGACUCCUACGGGAGGCAGCAGUGGGGAAUAUUGCACAAUGGGCGAAAGCCUGAUGCAGCGACGCCGCGUGAGGGAUGAAGGCCUUCGGGUUGUAAACCUCUUUCAGCAGGGACGAAGCGAAAGUGACGGUACCUGCAGAAGAAGCACCGGCUAACU
Molecule: ribosomal RNA, 468 nt
Filed under: Corynebacterineae bacterium CL6.5
Lineage: Bacteria; Bacillati; Actinomycetota; Actinomycetes; Mycobacteriales; Corynebacteriaceae
Description: bacterial SSU rRNA
Rfam family: Bacterial small subunit ribosomal RNA
Source: RNAcentral